CGUAAACAAAGGGAAGCGAAGUGGCGACAUGGAGCAAAUCCCAAAAAUAACGUCCCAGUUCGGAUUGUAGUCUGCAACCCGACUACAUGAAGCCGGAAUCGCUAGUAAUCGCGGAUCAGAAUGCCGCGGUGAAUACGUUCCCGGGUCUUGUACACACCGCCCGUCACACCAUGGGAGUUGGAAAUGCCCGAAGUCAGUGGCCCAACCGGAAGGGGGGAGCUGCCGAAGGCAGGUUCGAUGACUGGGGUGAAGUCGUAACAAGGUAGC
RNAcentral lists this ribosomal RNA (267 nucleotides) under uncultured bacterium. RNAcentral describes it as "partial 16S ribosomal RNA". It matches the Rfam family "Bacterial small subunit ribosomal RNA", at positions 1234 to 1500 of the family's 1533-position model. The record is from RNAcentral.